AUGAACGCUGGCGGCGUGCCUAAUACAUGCAAGUCGAGCGAACGGACGAGAAGCUUGCUUCUCUGAUGUUAGCGGCGGACGGGUGAGUAACACGUGGAUAACCUACCUAUAAGACUGGGAUAACUUCGGGAAACCGUAGCUAAUACCGGAUAAUAUUUUGAACCGCAUGGUUCAAAAGUGAAAGACGGUCUUGCUGUCACUUAUAGAUGGAUCCGCGCUGCAUUAGCUAGUUGGUAAGGUAACGGCUUACCAAGGCAACGAUGCAUAGCCGACCUGAGAGGGUGAUCGGCCACACUGGAACUGAGACACGGUCCAGACUCCUACGGGAGGCAGCAGUAGGGAAUCUUCCGCAAAGGGCGAAAGCCUGACGGAGCAACUCCGCGUGAGUGAUGAAGGUCUUCGGAUCGUAAAACUCUGUUAUUAGGGAAGAACAUAUGUGUAAGUAACUGUGCACAUCUUGACGGUACCUAAUCAGAAAGCCACGGCUAACUACGUG
RNAcentral lists this ribosomal RNA (496 nucleotides) under uncultured bacterium. Its description in RNAcentral is "partial 16S ribosomal RNA". It matches the Rfam family "Bacterial small subunit ribosomal RNA", at positions 29 to 507 of the family's 1533-position model. The record is from RNAcentral.